AGGGAAAGAAUGCCUAUUCUGUAUUUUCAGAUAUCUCCUUGGUGCUGGGAGGACGAAUGGACCAAUCCAGCAAUAUUCCAUGAAAUCAGUUACUCAGGAAAGUCAUGAAAGUUGACAUGAAACACAGAAGCCCUCAACAAAUACCUGAAAGAAAAUGAAACAGAAGAAAAAUGAGAGUAGCUCAACCCUGCCUUCCUCAUACUUAAAGAACGUCGAAUUCCUGCACUGACAACUGAUGCUGAGUUCAGCUUGAAAAACUCAAGAGUAGGCUCCUUUUCCAUACUUAGGCCCUCUAUUCAAUUUGACAUUAAAACUUAUUCCACUUA
This is a long non-coding RNA of Galeopterus variegatus (Sunda flying lemur), 326 nucleotides long. RefSeq lists it as uncharacterized. Lineage: Eukaryota; Metazoa; Chordata; Mammalia; Dermoptera; Cynocephalidae. The record is from RefSeq and is a predicted model, not a curated record. The transcript is spliced from 2 exons.